RNAcentral lists this ribosomal RNA (1157 nucleotides) under Salmonella enterica subsp. enterica. Its description in RNAcentral is "partial 23S ribosomal RNA". It matches the Rfam family "Bacterial large subunit ribosomal RNA", at positions 1 to 1190 of the family's 2925-position model. RNAcentral also lists the same sequence under 1 other name. Lineage: Bacteria; Pseudomonadati; Pseudomonadota; Gammaproteobacteria; Enterobacterales; Enterobacteriaceae. The record is from RNAcentral.
GGGUUGUGAGGUUAAGCGACUAAGCGUACACGGUGGAUGCCCUGGCAGUCAGAGGCGAUGAAGGACGUGCUAAUCUGCGAUAAGCGCCGGUAAGGUGAUAUGAACCGUUAUAACCGGCGAUUUCCGAAUGGGGAAACCCAGUGUGAUUCGUCACACUAUCAUUAACUGAAUCCAUAGGUUAAUGAGGCGAACCGGGGGAACUGAAACAUCUAAGUACCCCGAGGAAAAGAAAUCAACCGAGAUUCCCCCAGUAGCGGCGAGCGAACGGGGAGGAGCCCAGAGCCUGAAUCAGCAUGUGUGUUAGUGGAAGCGUCUGGAAAGGCGCGCGAUACAGGGUGACAGCCCCGUACACAAAAGCGCAUGUGCUGUGAGCUCGAUGAGUAGGGCGGGACACGUGGUAUCCUGUCUGAAUAUGGGGGGACCAUCCUCCAAGGCUAAAUACUCCUGACUGACCGAUAGUGAACCAGUACCGUGAGGGAAAGGCGAAAAGAACCCCGGCGAGGGGAGUGAAAAAGAACCUGAAACCGUGUACGUACAAGCAGUGGGAGCACCCUUUGGGGUGUGACUGCGUACCUUUUGUAUAAUGGGUCAGCGACUUAUAUUCUGUAGCAAGGUUAACCGAAUAGGGGAGCCGUAGGGAAACCGAGUCUUAACCGGGCGUUAAGUUGCAGGGUAUAGACCCGAAACCCGGUGAUCUAGCCAUGGGCAGGUUGAAGGUUGGGUAACACUAACUGGAGGACCGAACCGACUAAUGUUGAAAAAUUAGCGGAUGACCUGUGGCUGGGGGUGAAAGGCCAAUCAAACCGGGAGAUAGCUGGUUCUCCCCGAAAGCUAUUUAGGUAGCGCCUCGUGAAUUCAUCUCCGGGGGUAGAGCACUGUUUCGGCUAGGGGGCCAUCCCGGCUUACCAACCCGAUGCAAACUGCGAAUACCGGAGAAUGUUAUCACGGGAGACACACGGCGGGUGCUAACGUCCGUCGUGAAGAGGGAAACAACCCAGACCGCCAGCUAAGGUCCCAAAGUCAUGGUUAAGUGGGAAACGAUGUGGGAAGGCCCAGACAGCCAGGAUGUUGGCUUAGAAGCAGCCAUCAUUUAAAGAAAGCGUAAUAGCUCACUGGUCGAGUCGGCCUGCGCGGAAGAUGUAACGGGGCUAAACCAU